RNAcentral lists this ribosomal RNA (312 nucleotides) under Triticum aestivum (bread wheat). RNAcentral's name for it is "partial small subunit ribosomal RNA". Lineage: Eukaryota; Viridiplantae; Streptophyta; Magnoliopsida; Poales; Poaceae. The record is from RNAcentral.
AUGAAACCAAAUUUAUUUUGUACUGGAAUGAGCAGCAAGCAAACUCCAUUGUCACUUGUCCAUCCAUAUGGUGCACCUGAGGCUCUUCCCCUGCAGCAGCAGGUCGAAGGCCGUGUUGAUGUCCUCGAGGCCGACCUCGUGGGUUAUGAACUUGUCCAGCUCCAGCUCCUGUGUGUGUGUGCAUACCGGCCGGGAGCUCUGGAAGGCAUCGUUCAUGAGCGCCGCCAGGCCGAUGCACUCGAAGCAGUAGUCGGCGCCGCCGUCGGUCAUCUCGAUGAUCACCUGUUUAUCAUGGAAAAAACAGGUGUCUAA